UACGUAGGGUGCAGGCGUUAAUCGGAAUUACUGGGCGUAAAGCGUGCGCAGGCGGUUUUGUAAGCCAGAUGUGAAAUCCCCGGGCUCAACCUGGGAACUGCAUUUGGGACUGCAAGGCUUGAGUACGGCAGAGGGGGGUAGAAUUCCUGGUGUAGCAGUGAAAUGCGUAGAUAUCAGGAGGAAUACCGAUGGCGAAGGCAGCCCCCUGGGUCGAUACUGACGCUCAUGCACGAAAGCGUGGGGAGCAAACAGG
RNAcentral lists this ribosomal RNA (253 nucleotides) under uncultured bacterium. RNAcentral describes it as "partial 16S ribosomal RNA". It matches the Rfam family "Bacterial small subunit ribosomal RNA", at positions 524 to 776 of the family's 1533-position model. The record is from RNAcentral.